This 2521-nucleotide long non-coding RNA is filed under the name Homo sapiens (human). RNAcentral describes it as "PREDICTED lncRNA (TCONS_00065887)". The record is from RNAcentral. Lineage: Eukaryota; Metazoa; Chordata; Mammalia; Primates; Hominidae.
GGCCUCUGAUUGGCCGAAGCUGGCAGAGCAGGGCCUCUCGCGCUCCUGGGUCCAUGCAACCUGCUCCCUGUGGCUGCCGAGUUCUCGGGAACAGCGGCUCGGCCUGCAAGGCUGUUGUUUCAAGAAAUGAAAAUGAAGGGCGCCCUGGAAUAGGUUCGCCGAAGAGAGAGCUUGCAGGCCUCUGGGAAGCAAGCCAUCGUGUGGCAGAGGCCCAGGUGGCAAGGAACCAAGGGCGGCUUCUGGCCAACAGCCAGCGAGGACCUGAGACCGUAGCCCAACACCCCUCCAGGAACUGAAUUUUGCCAGCAACCAGUGAGUGACCUUGGAAGUGGAUCCUUCCCCCGAAAGCCCGGCUUUCAGCUCAGAGAAUGGAAAAAUAUCUCUUCCUAAAGACACAGAGAAACAUAAACAAACCUGACCAAUAGAAGGACCAAAACCUCUGCACAGUGCCUCACCCCUCGGAGGAAUUAACAAAAAUACGGAGGCUGGUGGGACCUCAACCCCAGCUGGUAUCCAGGCUCUUGACACCAUCUGGAGAAGGAAUUCAAGAGUGUGUCAGAAAAUGAUGAAAGUACAAAGAUUUAUUGCAAAGCGAAAAAUACACACUCAAGAAAGGGGAGUAUGGGUGGACUCAAGACAGAGUCCGAUGGGACUUGGGGUUUCUACCUUUUGGGUUUCUUUUUUUUUUUUUUUUGAUAUGGAGUCUCGCACUGUUGCCCAGGCUGGAGCGCAGUGGCGUGAUUUUGGCUCACUGCAACCUCUGCCUCCCGGGUUAAAACGAUUCUCCUGCCUCAGCGUCCCAAGUAGCUGGGAUUACAGGCUCCCACCACCAUGCCCGGCUAAUUUUUGUAUUUUUAGUAGAGACGAGGCCUCACCAUAUUGGCCAGGCUGUUCUCGAACUCCGGACCUUAGGUGAUCUGCCUGCCUCAGCCUCCCAAAGUGCUGGGAUUACAGGCGUGAGCCACCAUGCCCAAUGGGUGUGGGAUUUAGUAUAUUAAUGAGUGUAUAAUGAGGUCCUUGGUGAAACCUACAUCAAAUCCAGCACCGUGUUGGGUCCAGUCUGUCUUAGCCAGCUUGGUCCACACCCUGGUUUUUUAGGGUCUUAUUGGCCCCUUACUUCUGCAGCAAAAGUUUCCUUUUGCUAGUCAUGUGAAACUGCCACCUGGAAUUUUCUAUUCUCUAGUGACCACCCUGUAUUAUUCCUGUCUCACUGGGACCCUAAGAAAUUGGGAAUUCCAACUACACAUCCAAAAUAGUUUGACUAAAACUGUUGAAAAAAGAAAAAAAUAAUGGCAUAAAGUAUUGCUUGACUAAAUUCCAGCCAGGUGCAUUGGCCACUUUAGGUCGGGUGUGGUGGCUCAUGCUUGUAAUCCCAGCAUUUUGGGAGGCUGAGGCGGGAGGAUCACUUGAGGUCAGGAGUUCCAAACCAGUCUGGCCAAAAUGGUAAAACCCCCUCUCUACUAAAAAUACAAAAAUUAGCCGGACCUGGUGGCGGAAGCCUGUAAUCCCAGCUACUCUGGAGGCUGAGGCACGAAAAUUGCUUGAACCCAGGAGGUGGAGGUUGCAUUGAACCAAGAUCAUACCACUGCACUCUAGCCUGUGUGACAGAGAAAGAUUCCGUCUCAAGAAACAAAAACAAAAAUGAAAAACAAACAAAAAGAAAGCCCAUUCUAUCUUUUUUAUUUUUUAUUUUUUUGAGACAGGGUCUCGCUCUGUCACUCAGGCUGGAGUGCCACAGCGCGAUCUCUGCUCACUACAACCUCCAUCUCCCAGGCUCAAGCACUCCUCCCACCUCAGCCUCCUGAGUAGCUGGGACCACAGGCACAGAAACCCCACUGUAAAUAAAGAGAGGUAGGCUUUUAAAAAUGUCACUCUGUUCACAGUAAGGCAAGCAAGGGAAGCAAAAUCAAUUUCUUUCUAGAGGUGGGAUAAUGGGUAGGGAGUGGAAGACUUUAGGAAAGAGGUGCCCCAGUUUCUGAGUCACUUCAUGGCUUCAAUAUUCAUUGACUAUCAAUCAACAGAUGAAUGGAUAUACAAAAGGUGGUAUCUCUGUUGCAGCAGGUAGUUAGUCAGAGCUGAGCAGGGAAGGAGAGGCUCCUCCGCCCCAUCAGGAGAUGAUCAGGCAGUUGUUAAACUGUCUCUCUCAAAUAAUCAUUGGUUGCAGCCGAUGCCAGGGAAAGACAGUCUCCCAGUAGAUAGAAACGCCAGAAACUGGUGAUCAGCAGCUUCCCAGUAAGAUCUCAGGAGGUGGGUGAGUGGGCUUAAGCAUGUGCAUGAAGAGGCAAAAUGGUUGAGCUUAGCUGGUACAUGACCUUCCUCUAGGAACACUCAACUGAUAAGGGAAGAACACCUCAAGUGAGCACACAUAUAGCUUCAGUAAACACACUCACAUGCAGCCCCUCCCAAGUGCUGGCAGGCCAUUGUACAUGCAGACUGCCAACAUAUAAAACCACAAGUCAAAGGUCAAACCAUGCACUUGAAUCUCUCAAGGUCCCUACUGGCCCUCUUCCACGUGUACUUU